CCCUUAGAUGUUCUGGGCCGCACGCGCGCUACAAUGAUGAAUUCAACGAGCUUAUAACCUUGGUUGAAAAGCCUGGGUAAUCUUUUGAACUUUCGUCGUGAUGGGGCUGGACCCUUGCAAUUUUUGGUCUCCAACGAGGAAUUCCUAGUAAACGCAAGUCAUCAACUUGCAUUGAUUACGUCCCUGCCCUUUGUACACACCGCCCGUCGCACCUACCGAUUGAAUGGUCCGGUGAAAUCUUAGGACUGCGACUUUGUCUCGUUCAUUCAAGACGCUGUCGCGGGAAUUUGAUUAAACCUUACCAUUUAGAGGAAGGUGAAGUCGUAACA
RNAcentral lists this ribosomal RNA (329 nucleotides) under uncultured eukaryote. Its description in RNAcentral is "partial 18S ribosomal RNA". It matches the Rfam family "Eukaryotic small subunit ribosomal RNA", at positions 1470 to 1796 of the family's 1831-position model. The record is from RNAcentral.